AAUAUUGAAUACUUGUUAUAUGUAAGAAGCAUGUUUGUGAGUGUAUGGGAAAUAUUAAAAAUAAAUAAAAACGUCAUAAAUCUCGAUAAUUAAUUACUAUUUCUUAGACACAAGUGGAAAAUGUUAAACGGCCGGUGUCAUUUAUUAGAUGACGUGACUUACCGAUGUCGCGUCCUUCCCAGUAUUGCCAUAGUUAACGCGGUGAAUCCACUCGCGUUCCAUUUAAAACUCUGAGGCUGUUUGUCUGAAUUUACUUUUUGUCCAGUCGCGUCGCAGACGCGUGUGGCAAGUUGCGCUCUUCGUUGUUUUCUCGCCAGCCCUUAUCUUGGACAAGAUUGCUCGUUUAUAAAUGAAGUUAUAUCGUUGAAUUGAACACAGGGCUACGGAGGCGAGGCGAAUUUUUAAUUAGUUUCCGAAGAUAGAGAAUUUUAAGGAGGAAUGCGGGAGCCGUGUAACAAGUGUGCAGAUUUUUUUAAUUGAGACGUCGACGCAAUCAUUCGUCGGUGAAUUCGAUUUGCAAAUUGUGAAAAGAUUAAAGGGAAAGCAAUUGCUAUAUUCUAAUUUAAGAAUCUUUAAUAUCAUAUUAAAUAUUUUUAACGAAAUAAUAUUUUAGAAAGUUCUUUUAUAACGCUGUAAUAUAUUAAAGACAAACCCAUGAAACCAAGACAAAGCCACGAGAUAACAUCAAAAAUAAAAUAUGCAUACGUUUUUUUAAUAUUUUUAUUUUAUUAUAAAAGCUAAUUAUUUAAAUUAUGGUAUUAAAAAAUCAUUAUUGAGAAGGAACAAGAGCGACGACGUUAAAACCGAUGUGGUCUGGUUCACGUUCAAUAAAUUGACGGCAGACUUUAGCAGCAUCUUCUAGAAAGUUAACCUCAGUCGUUGGCCCGUGGUUUAUUGGUAAAGCCUUACGACCAUCCAGCUCAUACAGAUAACCAUCUUUGUGAAUAAAUGUUAUAAAAUGGUUAUUUACUGUUUCAUUGUCCUCAAUGUCUACUCCUUUUUCAAUAACUUCUUUGUAAGCUUCUA
RNAcentral lists this unclassified non-coding RNA (1026 nucleotides) under Melitaea cinxia (Glanville fritillary). RNAcentral's name for it is "misc RNA ENSMCXG00005014737.1". The record is from RNAcentral. Lineage: Eukaryota; Metazoa; Arthropoda; Insecta; Lepidoptera; Nymphalidae.